This 384-nucleotide ribosomal RNA is filed under the name Triticum aestivum (bread wheat). RNAcentral describes it as "partial small subunit ribosomal RNA". The record is from RNAcentral. Lineage: Eukaryota; Viridiplantae; Streptophyta; Magnoliopsida; Poales; Poaceae.
AUGAGGACAGAACUAGUUCAUUGGGCUAGGGCAUUUUUUCCUACAGGAGCUAACUGUUAAUCUGUGGACAAUAAUCUUUGUGAGUCAUUUAACAAUGCCAUCAUAGAAUCAAGGUUCUACCCAAUUAUUUCACAGCAAGAGAUGAUAAGAAAGAAGAUGCUUGUCAGGGUGCAAGAGCAGAGAGCCAAAUCAGCAACAUGGAAGGGCAAAAUUUGCCCAAAUGUUUUCAAGAAGCUAAAGGUGAGUAUUAGAUUGACACAAUACAUUGAGGUACUCUGGAAUGGCAAGGAGGGAUUUGAGGUGCAGCACAUGAAGGGAAGAAAGAAGAAGUACACAAUAAAUCUUGAAAAGAGGGUAUGCGAUGAAGCUAUGUACCUAGGGUAG